GACGUAGGGCGCGAGCGUUGUCCGGAUUUAUUGGGCGUAAAGAGCUCGUAGGCGGCUCAUUGCGUCAACCGUGAAAUCUUGCUGCUCAACGGCAGGUCUGCGGUUGAUACGGGUGGGCUGGAGUUCGGUAGGGGAGACUGGAAUUCCCGGUGUAGCGGUGAAAUGCGCAGAUAUCGGGAGGAACACCUAUGGCGAAGGCAGCUCGCUGGGACGUUACUGACGCUGAGACGCGAAAGCGUGGGGAGCAAACAGG
Molecule: ribosomal RNA, 253 nt
Filed under: uncultured bacterium
Lineage: Bacteria
Description: partial 16S ribosomal RNA
Rfam family: Bacterial small subunit ribosomal RNA
Source: RNAcentral